GGGGGCGACCAGGUCUCGACGUGGUCGGUUCUCCGGCUGAGCUGCAAGCCGAGGUCCCCGGUCGGCCUCGUAAAACAACCGGGACAAACGCAAGUGCGAAGAACGAUCUCGCACUCGCUGCCUAACUAACACUUAGGUGGCGCGUCGCUCGGAGCUGGGCCCGUGGCUCCGGCAAGCGGCGCCAACGAACGGGCUCGGCGCGGAGGGAGAGCCAAUCGCCCGAAGCGCGACCACCAAAGGAUGGCUGGCCCGCCGGUUGGUCGGUUGCCACCGGCCGCCGGGCGAGAUCCAAGGCAGCCUAAGCUUGUAGAGGCUCUGUCCGGUGCGACCGCGGACGCGGGUUCGAUUCCCGCCGCCUCCACUC
This 364-nucleotide transfer-messenger RNA is filed under the name Gaiellaceae. RNAcentral describes it as "JACVRU01 sp014534295 Standard tmRNA". It matches the Rfam family "transfer-messenger RNA". Rfam says of the family: Bacterial tmRNA, also known as 10Sa RNA or SsrA, is named for its dual tRNA and mRNA-like properties. Its role is to liberate the mRNA from a stalled ribosome. RNAcentral also lists the same sequence under 1 other name. The record is from RNAcentral. Lineage: Bacteria; Bacillati; Actinomycetota; Thermoleophilia; Gaiellales.